RNAcentral lists this ribosomal RNA (647 nucleotides) under Salmonella enterica. Its description in RNAcentral is "partial 23S ribosomal RNA". It matches the Rfam family "Bacterial large subunit ribosomal RNA", at positions 1 to 681 of the family's 2925-position model. Lineage: Bacteria; Pseudomonadati; Pseudomonadota; Gammaproteobacteria; Enterobacterales; Enterobacteriaceae. The record is from RNAcentral.
GGGUUGUGAGGUUAAGCGACUAAGCGUACACGGUGGAUGCCCUGGCAGUCAGAGGCGAUGAAGGGCGUGCUAAUCUGCGAUAAGCGCCGGUAAGGUGAUAUGAACCGUUAUAACCGGCGAUACCCGAAUGGGGAAACCCAGUGUGAUUCGUCACACUAUCAUUACGUGAAUACAUAGCGUAAUGAAGCGAACCGGGGGAACUGAAACAUCUAAGUACCCCGAGGAAAAGAAAUCAACCGAGAUUCCCCCAGUAGCGGCGAGCGAACGGGGAGGAGCCCAGAGCCUGAAUCAGCAUGUGUGUUAGUGGAAGCGUCUGGAAAGGCGCGCGAUACAGGGUGACAGCCCCGUACACAAAAGCGCAUGUGUUGUGAGCUCGAUGAGUAGGGCGGGACACGUGGUAUCCUGUCUGAAUAUGGGGGGACCAUCCUCCAAGGCUAAAUACUCCUGACUGACCGAUAGUGAACCAGUACCGUGAGGGAAAGGCGAAAAGAACCCCGGCGAGGGGAGUGAAAAAGAACCUGAAACCGUGUACGUACAAGCAGUGGGAGCACCCUUUGGGGUGUGACUGCGUACCUUUUGUAUAAUGGGUCAGCGACUUAUAUUCUGUAGCAAGGUUAACCGAAUAGGGGAGCCGGAGGGAAACCGAG